CCUACGGGAGGCAGCAGUGGGGAAUUUUGCACAAUGGGCGAAAGCCUGAUGCAGCAACGCCGCGUGUGUGAUGAAGGUCUUCGGAUCGUAAAGCACUUUCGACCGGGACGCGGUACCGGGAGAAGAAGCACCGGCUAACUCUGUGCCAGCAGCCGCGGUAAUACAGAGGGUGCAAGCGUUGUUCGGAAUUAUUGGGCGUAAAGCGCGUGUAGGCGGCUUGUUAAGUCGGGUGUGAAAGCCCUCAGCUCAACUGAGGAAGGGCGCCCGAAACUGGCGAGCUUGAGUGUCGGAGAGGAUGGCGGAAUACCCCAAGUAGAGGUGAAAUUCGUAGAUAUGGGGUGGAACACCGGGGCGAAGGCGGCCAUCUGGACACACUGACGCUGAGACGCGAAAGCGUGGGGAGCAAACAGGAUUAGAUACCCUUGUAGUC
Molecule: ribosomal RNA, 430 nt
Filed under: uncultured bacterium
Lineage: Bacteria
Description: partial 16S ribosomal RNA
Rfam family: Bacterial small subunit ribosomal RNA
Source: RNAcentral